GAAUGAAUGUAAUGAUUAUCAUAACUAAAAUAGCCUUAGUACUUAGGUAAGUACUCUAUUUUUAGGAAAAAUAGGUAUAGUUAUCAGAAUUUGGACAAUGAUAUCAUGCAGAUCCGGUCUAAAAAUACAUGUUUUUAUUUUUAAAAGCACCUUUAAGCCAUGACUGAUCAAACGUAAUCAAAUAGCACGCAAAUUGAUAAGAGGUGGUAUAAAAUGCUGAAGAACUGAUCCAUAGCUAUACAAAUAUCUGAUCAUUUGUUCUGAACACAUCAAGGUGUUUACCAUUAUUCCCAAGAAAGUUUUACUACGUCAAAACAGAACUAUCCAACAUGCAGCGCCCAACAGCUUACCCGUGCUUCGGAGCCCCUGCCGGCUACAAAACCCAGAGCCCUGCCGUGAGCCCCAACCCCUGCUUCGGCCCGCCCAAGCCUGCCUACUGCCAGCCCAGCCCGUGUUUUGGACCUCCCAUGCCCGCCUUCCAGCCCAGUACUUGCUUUAUGCCAGCCUCGGCCAUCAGACAAAUGGCCAACCAGAGCCAGCAAAGAGGUCACUGGGCACCGACGUUUUACUGAGGCGAAGAAGACGUUUGGACCAUUCUGCGUAUUAUUCUUGUGACUCAGUUGCUAAAGUAUCUUGCUUUGUUUAGUAUCAGUCAAAGUUUCAGUAUACUUAGUAAGUUUGAGAAAGUCUUCAGUGGUGCGUAGUUAGUUUGAUUUAAGUGUAUGUUUAGUUGGAACGGAGUGUCUAGUUU
Long non-coding RNA from Plutella xylostella (diamondback moth), 751 nucleotides. RefSeq lists it as uncharacterized. The record is from RefSeq and is a predicted model, not a curated record. Lineage: Eukaryota; Metazoa; Arthropoda; Insecta; Lepidoptera; Plutellidae.